RNAcentral lists this non-coding RNA (45 nucleotides) under Schistosoma mansoni. Lineage: Eukaryota; Metazoa; Platyhelminthes; Trematoda; Strigeidida; Schistosomatidae. The record is from RNAcentral.
ACCUUGCUGACGAGUGCAAAAUAGCGCGAAACCCGUGUCCAGGGU